CCUACGGGUGGCUGCAGUGGGGAAUAUUGGACAAUGGGCGAAAGCCUGAUCCAGCCAUGCCGCGUGUGUGAAGAAGGCCUUCGGGUUGUAAAGCACUUUCAGUGGGGAAGAAAGCCUUGGGGCUAAUACCCUCGAGGAAGGACAUCACCCACAGAAGAAGCACCGGCUAACUCCGUGCCAGCAGCCGCGGUAAUACGGAGGGUGCGAGCGUUAAUCGGAAUUACUGGGCGUAACGGCGCGUAGGCGGUCUGAUAAGCCGGUUGUGAAAGCCCCGGGCUCAACCUGGGAACGGCAUCCGGAACUGUCAGGCUAGAGUGCAGGAGAGGAAGGUAGAAUUCCCGGUGUAGCGGUGAAAUGCGUAGAGAUCGGGAGGAAUACCAGUGGCGAAGGCGGCCUUCUGGACUGACACUGACGCAGGGGUGCGAAAGCGUGGGUAGCAAACAGGAUUAGAUACCCCAGUAGUC
This 464-nucleotide ribosomal RNA is filed under the name Vreelandella stevensii. Its description in RNAcentral is "partial 16S ribosomal RNA". It matches the Rfam family "Bacterial small subunit ribosomal RNA", at positions 338 to 795 of the family's 1533-position model. The record is from RNAcentral. Lineage: Bacteria; Pseudomonadati; Pseudomonadota; Gammaproteobacteria; Oceanospirillales; Halomonadaceae.